This 794-nucleotide ribosomal RNA is filed under the name uncultured bacterium. Its description in RNAcentral is "bacterial SSU rRNA". It matches the Rfam family "Bacterial small subunit ribosomal RNA", at positions 8 to 795 of the family's 1533-position model. The record is from RNAcentral.
AGAGUUUGAUCCUGGCUCAGAUUGAACGCUGGCGGAAUGCUUUACACAUGCAAGUCGAACGGCAGCACGGGAGCUUGCUCCUGGUGGCGAGUGGCGAACGGGUGAGUAAUGCGUCGGAACGUACCGAGUAAUGGGGGAUAACGCACCGAAAGGUGUGCUAAUACCGCAUACGCCCCGAGGGGGAAAGCAGGGGAUCGUAAGACCUUGCGUUAUUCGAGCGGCCGACGUCUGAUUAGCUAGUUGGUGGGGUAAAGGCCUACCAAGGCGACGAUCAGUAGCGGGUCUGAGAGGAUGAUCCGCCACACUGGGACUGAGACACGGCCCAGACUCCUACGGGAGGCAGCAGUGGGGAAUUUUGGACAAUGGGGGAAACCCUGAUCCAGCCAUUCCGCGUGAGUGAAGAAGGCCUUCGGGUUGUAAAGCUCUUUCAGCCGGAACGAAACGGUACGCUCUAACAUAGCGUGCUAAUGACGGUACCGGCAGAAGAAGCACCGGCUAACUACGUGCCAGCAGCCGCGGUAAUACGUAGGGUGCGAGCGUUAAUCGGAAUUACUGGGCGUAAAGCGUGCGCAGGCGGAUUGUUAAGCAAGAUGUGAAAUCCCCGGGCUUAACCUGGGAAUGGCAUUUUGAACUGGCAGUCUAGAGUGUGUCAGAGGGGGGUGGAAUUCCACGUGUAGCAGUGAAAUGCGUAGAUAUGUGGAGGAACACCAAUGGCGAAGGCAGCCCCCUGGGAUAACACUGACGCUCAUGUACGAAAGCGUGGGUAGCAAACAGGAUUAGAUACCCUGGUAGUC